This 360-nucleotide ribosomal RNA is filed under the name Triticum aestivum (bread wheat). RNAcentral's name for it is "partial small subunit ribosomal RNA". Lineage: Eukaryota; Viridiplantae; Streptophyta; Magnoliopsida; Poales; Poaceae. The record is from RNAcentral.
AUGACGGACUUCCAAAACCUCAAUACACAAACUGAAUGCCUAAAUAGAGCACACCUAAUUCUGCUCCCCAAAACAGAACUGGCAAACACUCCCGACGCCUACCGCCCCAUCUCGCUUCAAAACUGCCCUAUAAAAGCCGUUGCAAAGGUGCUCACUAACAGGCUAAAACCAUUGAUCCCGCUGCUGGUUCAUGCUAACCAAACUGGGUUCAUCUCAGGCCGUAGCAUCGCAGAAAACUUUAUUUACGCUGCCGACCUCGUCCGUGCCUGCCACUCCAGAAAGGCUCCAACAAUGGUAAUCAAGUUGGAUUUUAGCAAAGCUUUCGACUCACUCUCCUGGGACUCCCUUAUAUCCACACUA